Leptonychotes weddellii (Weddell seal) is the source of this 2887-nucleotide non-coding RNA. The record is from RefSeq and is a predicted model, not a curated record. NCBI's taxonomy places the organism in Eukaryota, Metazoa, Chordata, Mammalia, Carnivora, Phocidae.
GAAGGCAGUCGCUUAACCAACUGAGCCACCCAGGCGCCCUGGCGUAUUGAUUUCUUUACACCAGUAAAAGGAAGUCAGCCUUUACCAGGAAAUGACAGAUCUUUUUCUUCUGUAAAACUUAACCCGGAAGUAUCUACUAUCCUUGGAUUUUUUUUUUUUUUCCUAUUUCAUUGUCAAUGUUCCACUGACUAAAUUCAACAGCAUAAUUUUUGCUAGCAAAGAGGAUGAAAAGCCUGUGGAGAAGAAACUUUUAAACAGAAUUUUAACUUUUUUUUUUUUUCAGAAUUUUCACUUUUAACCUGUCAAUGUGUACUACAUUAUAUAUAAAAUGUAUACACACACACACACAUAUAUGGCACUUUUCAUUUCGGUACAAUGCCUUGCUUGCGAGUGAGUAUUGAUUAUCAAACAACUGUCUAGAAGGGGUGGGUAGAGAACCCCUUUAGAUGAAAGGCCAUGGCACUGUGUGUUCACUGGUGCUCAGAGUAGAGCACCUCUUACUAAACCCUGAGUAUCACAAGUUCCUCCCCAAAUGAUUUCAGAUAGUGUGCAGGAAGGAGAUUCGCUAUGCAGAAAAGGUCAUGGGAAAAUGACAUAAUGGAAGUCACAAUGCAAGUUGGUUAGAUGCGGACACAGACAGUAUCUGUAAGGCACGAACAUUAAUCUGCAGCGUGGCCCUAGAGAAACUGAGUAACUCUGUGUGCCAAGCUUUUAAAUGGUCUCGUCAGGAUUUGACCCAGGCCAUCAUAUUUUCAAAGCCCUUGGGAUGCCCACUGCAUCUGCCGGCUCACGGCGCUCCUCCCCUGCCCUCGUGGAGCUAUAGACUCUCGAUACGCUUUUUUGUUGCAGUUUACUUUUGGUGAGUGGUGCUCACUUUGGUCGUCUUCUCUGAAUCCUGGGAAGCUGUCAUUUUCUACUUGCCAUGUAGAUGUGAUGGAGCCCUCUGCCAUUUGUGUAGUCAUCUGAGACAGCAUCUCUGAAGUCUGGCUUUAUUUGAGAUAUGAGAGCCUUUUUGUUCCCAAGUAAAUAACUUGUAGUAGACGCAUUCCAGGAAGGACACCAGCAAUUCCACUUUUAGAUUAUAUCAACUGUAACUACGUUCUAAAGGAAUGCAGAUAAUAUUCCUUCAGCUCUUUUUGAUUGCUUAAUGGAAAUGUUAUAAAAUCUACUUUAAAGAUGGUCAUUAUAGAUGCUGUUCUUAACAUGUGGUUACAAAUGUGUGCUGUUGGCAGUGGCUAAAAACAGGUUAGAAAAGCAGAUGUCAUUUCUCCAAAGCUCUUGAUCUAGAUUCUUAGCUUGACACCCCAAGGCAUCAAGCUUCAAGUGUGGAGCAAAUUAGAAGCCCUGAGUUUCUUAGGCAGGACUGGGUUCCGAGGGACACUGGUGCAUUUCCAUCUAGCGAGCAUACCAAUAAAAGGCAAAAUAAUAAUAGUAGUGGCAGAAAUUUAGAGCAGAUUUUAGUGGAACAGUUGAAACUGGCAUUCGCUAACCAACUCUUGUUUGAAAUGCUGCCAGAGAGCAUAGAGACAGGAAAAUGUCUCUUGGUUUAAUUGGAUCAUUUCCUGAAAGAUCGUUUUACAAGAUAUCUUCCAGUGUUUAUUUGAGGCUUUUCAACUAUCUCUAAGAGAAACUUUUUCCUUUUGAUUAUUAUGUAACAUUACCAAUAACGAAACUAGAUUAAGGAACGAUCAAGCCAAAACCCAAUUUUCUUUUACUUAAUUCAUCUUGACAUUAAAGUUUUUUUUUAAAUAGAAUAAUCCCUUCUUAAUCUCAGAGUGUUCACCUCUCAAAUAUUUGAAUAACAUUAUCAAGUUCUUUUUCUACCUCAUCACACAAGGUAGGGAAUGUCAAGUAACACGUGUGUUGUUUUUUAAUCUUUCUCCUUACAGAACUAAAGGUAUGUUUAGUUUGAUUAAGCCGUAGGGUCAGGAGGAUGGCUAAACUCCACUAUGUUUUCCCUUCAAUUGGUCUAAAGAAAACAGAGCUUUAAAAAAUUCUCAAAAUCUUAAAUCACACACUCAAAAUAAUUGGAAUUCUGGCCCCUUGUUCCCCACUGUCUUCCGUUCCAUGCACAUGCUUUUUUCACUUCAGGAUAGGAAUUUUGUCAAAACACCACAGUGGCCUCACAUACUGAUUUUCCUGAGAUAACUAGUUGGGUAUUAAGCAGUUACGACUAAUUUCUACUGCUUUUAUAUUUCUGGAUUUGAGUGGCAGGGCGAGAGUAACAGCAACAGCAACAACAACAAGCACGAGAGCGGUACGAGUAACUACUUCUAGAAACAUCCGUGCAGUGUGUUUGCUGUCCCAGAUGCUGUGCUCAGCUCGGCGCCCUGCUCGGCAGGGUCCUGCGGCGCUUACUGCCCAGGGUCACACCGGAGCAACGGAACCAUGACUCACAUUCAGGUGUUUGGCACCUGAGUUGCUUGUCACAAAUACACUGAUGCUCAAGGAGGAUACCGUUGGGUUCCCAGAGCAAGCUUUCCUGGGGACAGAUGUUGGCGUAUGCUAACUAGCAUUGAUAAGGAAUCUUCUUGGAAAAAAAUCGAACCAAGCCUGGCUUACCAAAGCAGAAUGUUUUGGAACAAUAUGGAGAUGGCCACAAAAUCAAAGGAAGAAGUCCCAGCAGGGCCCAGAAAGAGCAGCUUCCCACACCUUCAGGGUGCUGGUGCCACGAGGGGCCCCUGACUCCGUCACUCCCUCCUUUGUACCAGUUCUGGACCUUAUAUGCACCUUUGUUCUGUAUUAACAUGAUGUAUCUCCAUGGUUUUCUUUCAUGGUAUUUCAUUAAGUAAUGAACUGGUCAAGAACAGAAAUAAUGUCCUGCUCAUAUCUGUGUGCCUGGUGUCUUUAGCACACAGUGCUUGGCACACAGGUACCCAGAACAUUU